Long non-coding RNA from Lytechinus variegatus (green sea urchin), 486 nucleotides. RefSeq lists it as uncharacterized. The record is from RefSeq and is a predicted model, not a curated record. The transcript has 2 exons. Lineage: Eukaryota; Metazoa; Echinodermata; Echinoidea; Temnopleuroida; Toxopneustidae.
AAGUCUUACCAACUUUGUUAAAUUCAAAUUUUAUUUAAUUUAGAUCUAGAAAAUAAUAUUUAGGCCCUAGUCCAUUUUAAUUACGCUUCGCCAUCACUUCUGACGUUACAUGUAAAACAAUUACUGGCGUUUCCGUGUAUGAUCUACACACAAGACUGCAAAAGUCAAUUUUGGCCGAAAAACGAAAGGUCGUUUGGAUACGGUCGCAGCGGCCUGGUCCCCCCAGGACGAGCACUUGAACAGUUGAUGCUCCCAUGAUCGCAUCGCCCUUUGCAAAACACAUCACCCGCCCGACCCGACCAAACAUGCCAAACGCCUAGCUUACAAUACAUUACAGAGACGAGACUGCACUCACAGUCACACAGUACCGUACGGUACAGCACUCAGCAGGUCACUUCCCUGGCAAAUCAAUUUGCAGUGGAGCUUUUAAAAAUCGGUUUGUUCUCAAAUUAAACGUGCAAAUUCAUUGAUAUUGGUACACAAAAU